RNAcentral lists this ribosomal RNA (779 nucleotides) under uncultured Arcobacter sp. RNAcentral's name for it is "bacterial SSU rRNA". It matches the Rfam family "Bacterial small subunit ribosomal RNA", at positions 558 to 1335 of the family's 1533-position model. Lineage: Bacteria; Pseudomonadati; Campylobacterota; Epsilonproteobacteria; Campylobacterales; Arcobacteraceae. The record is from RNAcentral.
GCGUAAAGAGCGUGUAGGCGGGUAGUUAAGUCAGAAGUGAAAUCCAAUAGCUCAACUAUUGAACUGCUUUUGAAACUGAUUACCUAGAAUAUGGGAGAGGUAGAUGGAAUUUCUGGUGUAGGGGUAAAAUCCGUAGAGAUCAGAAGGAAUACUGAUUGCGAAGGCGAUCUACUGGAACAUUAUUGACGCUGAGACGCGAAAGCGUGGGGAGCAAACAGGAUUAGAUACCCUGGUAGUCCACGCCCUAAACGAUGUACACUAGUUGUUGUGAGGCUCGACCUUGCAGUAAUGCAGUUAACACAUUAAGUGUACCGCCUGGGGAGUACGGUCGCAAGAUUAAAACUCAAAGGAAUAGACGGGGACCCGCACAAGCGGUGGAGCAUGUGGUUUAAUUCGACGAUACACGAAGAACCUUACCUGGACUUGACAUAGUAAGAACUUUCUAGAGAUAGAUUGGUGUCUGCUUGCAGAAACUUAUAUACAGGUGCUGCACGGCUGUCGUCAGCUCGUGUCGUGAGAUGUUGGGUUAAGUCCCGCAACGAGCGCAACCCUCGUCAUUAGUUGCUAACAGUUCGGCUGAGAACUCUAAUGAGACUGCCUACGCAAGUAGGAGGAAGGUGUGGACGACGUCAAGUCAUCAUGGCCCUUACGUCCAGGGCUACACACGUGCUACAAUGGGGUAUACAAAGAGCCGCAAUACGGUGACGUGGAGCAAAUCUCAAAAAUAUCUCCCAGUUCGGAUUGUAGUCUGCAACUCGACUACAUGAAGUUGGAAUCGC